RNAcentral lists this microRNA (20 nucleotides) under Helianthus ciliaris. Its description in RNAcentral is "hci-miR156a". Its record names the gene hci-miR156a. Lineage: Eukaryota; Viridiplantae; Streptophyta; Magnoliopsida; Asterales; Asteraceae. The record is from miRBase by way of RNAcentral.
UGACAGAAGAGAGUGAGUAC